RNAcentral lists this transfer RNA (77 nucleotides) under Perkinsus olseni. RNAcentral's name for it is "tRNA-Gln". It matches the Rfam family "tRNA". Rfam says of the family: Transfer RNA (tRNA) molecules are approximately 80 nucleotides in length. Their secondary structure includes four short double-helical elements and three loops (D, anti-codon, and T loops). Further hydrogen bonds mediate the characteristic L-shaped molecular structure. tRNAs have two regions of fundamental functional importance: the anti-codon, which is responsible for specific mRNA codon recognition, and the 3' end, to which the tRNAs corresponding amino acid is attached (by aminoacyl-tRNA synthetases). tRNAs cope with the degeneracy of the genetic code in two manners: having more than one tRNA (with a specific anti-codon) for a particular amino acid; and 'wobble' base-pairing, i.e. permitting non-standard base-pairing at the 3rd anti-codon position. Lineage: Eukaryota; Perkinsozoa; Perkinsida; Perkinsidae. The record is from RNAcentral.
GAUCUUGUGGCGCAAUGGAAGCGCGUCGAUUUCUGGAGCCGAAGGUUGCGGGUUCUAGUCCCGCCAGGACUGUAGCA